GUCGCUUUGGCCGAGUGGUUAAGGCGCUCGCCUGCUAAGUGAGUGGGAUUUUCCCGCGAGAGUUCGAAUCUCUCAGGCGACG
RNAcentral lists this transfer RNA (82 nucleotides) under Arabidopsis thaliana (thale cress). RNAcentral describes it as "tRNA AT5G65445". It matches the Rfam family "tRNA". From Rfam's summary of the family: Transfer RNA (tRNA) molecules are approximately 80 nucleotides in length. Their secondary structure includes four short double-helical elements and three loops (D, anti-codon, and T loops). Lineage: Eukaryota; Viridiplantae; Streptophyta; Magnoliopsida; Brassicales; Brassicaceae. The record is from Rfam by way of RNAcentral. RNAcentral also lists the same sequence under 2 other names.